Molecule: long non-coding RNA, 841 nt
Organism: Artibeus jamaicensis (Jamaican fruit-eating bat)
Lineage: Eukaryota; Metazoa; Chordata; Mammalia; Chiroptera; Phyllostomidae
Exons: 3
Source: RefSeq, a predicted model, not a curated record
GGAAUCAAAGUUCCUGUGUCUCAGUGGUUGGCCGAACCGCUUAUCCUAGACUGACACCGCCUCGGUAGAGGGGAAGGAGGAAGAGAAAAACAUCACCAUGUGGUUGUCUUUUGUGCACUGACCCCAGUGGGAACCUGGCCUGCAACCCAGGCAUGUGCCUACAGAAUUAACACCAAAUGAUGGAUGACGCCAGAUGCUACAGAACAGCCUGAAGGCCUGGGAAUGGAGAAUCAUCCAGAGCCGAGUCAUGGCUGGGGUCCAGGCCAGGGCCAAGGCCCUGGAACUUACAGAGUCAAGGCUGGGAACAAGGAGUGGAUCCCCAUCACUAAACUGGGGCACCACAUUAAGGACAUAAAUAUCAAUGUACUGCCUCUCACACAACCCCAACUGGGAACCUGGCCCACAAUCCAGGCAUGAACCCUACCAGGAAUUGCAACAGUGAAUUUUUGAUUUGCAGGACGAUGCCCAACCCAUUGAGCUACACUGGUCAGAGGCACUACAUAAUUUUAUACAAGAAAAAUAAAAUGAAGUAAGCCUGUUAAAAAGAAGAAGGAGGCUCUGGCUGGUGUAGCUCAGUGGAUUGAGGGCAGGCCUGUGAAACAAAGGGUUACUGGUUUGAUUCCCAGUCAGGGCACAUGCCUGGGUUGCAGGACGUUGUGGGUCAGGUCCCCAAUAGGGCCUGCAUGAGAGGAACCACACAUUGAUAUUUCUCUCCCUUUCUCCUUCCCUUCCCCUUUGUCUAAAUAUAAAUAAAAUCUUUAAAAAAAUUAAAAUUAAAAAAAAGAAGAACCAUAAAUGCCUGGAAGUACUUUAUGUAUUAAAGAUAUGAGAAGUUCUAGUC